RNAcentral lists this ribosomal RNA (498 nucleotides) under Pasteurella canis. RNAcentral's name for it is "bacterial SSU rRNA". It matches the Rfam family "Bacterial small subunit ribosomal RNA", at positions 9 to 497 of the family's 1533-position model. The record is from RNAcentral. Lineage: Bacteria; Pseudomonadati; Pseudomonadota; Gammaproteobacteria; Pasteurellales; Pasteurellaceae.
GAGUUUGAUCAUGGCUCAGAUUGAACGCUGGCGGCAGGCUUAACACAUGCAAGUCGAACGGUAGCAGGAAGAAAGCUUGCUUUUUUUGCUGACGAGUGGCGGACGGGUGAGUAAUGCUUGGGAAUCUGGCUUAUGGAGGGGGAUAACUGUGGGAAACUGCAGCUAAUACCGCGUAUAAUCGAGAGAUGAAAGGGUGGGACCGUAAGGCCACUUGCCAUAAGAUGAGCCCAAGUGGGAUUAGGUAGUUGGUGGGGUAAAGGCCUACCAAGCCUGCGAUCUCUAGCUGGUCUGAGAGGAUGGCCAGCCACACUGGGACUGAGACACGGCCCAGACUCCUACGGGAGGCAGCAGUGGGGAAUAUUGCGCAAUGGGGGGAACCCUGACGCAGCCAUGCCGCGUGAAUGAAGAAGGCCUUCGGGUUGUAAAGUUCUUUCGGUGAUGAGGAAGGGGUAUUAUUGAAUAGAUAAUAUCAUUGACGUAAUACAGAAGAGCACCGCA